Molecule: long non-coding RNA, 474 nt
Organism: Medicago truncatula (barrel medic)
Lineage: Eukaryota; Viridiplantae; Streptophyta; Magnoliopsida; Fabales; Fabaceae
Exons: 2
Source: RefSeq, a predicted model, not a curated record
UUAAUUGAAGUUGAUGGAGCAUGGAUUUUCUUACUUAUAAAACAAUCCAAAAAUUGGCUUUAUUGCAUUCAAAGAAAGAUAAAUAUGACUCAAUUUCUCUUCUUUAUCUUUGUUUUGAUGAUCUUUCUUUCUCCAUUUCUUGUUGAAAUGGAAAAGACUCAUGUUCGUUGCAUUACUGCCGAUGAUUGUCCAAAGGUGGAAAGACCUCUCAAAAUGAAGUGUAUUGGAAAUUAUUGUCACUACUUUUUAAACAACUUUUAGACAACUUUAUCUCUCAUACUCACAUGGUUUUUAGAGUAAUGAUUAAUAUAGAGAAGAAAUACAUCACGAAUUUAUCACGACACCGCACACUCACGUAUUACCACUAGUUUUUAUUUUAUUUUUUAAAGAACCACUAGUUUUAUUGUUCACUCUCAUAUAUUCCCCUCAUUCAAUAUUCAUUUUGUUAUCACUUAUCUAUGGUCUUUUGUCUUC